UGUUGGGUUGGCCAAAAAGUUUAUUCAGAUUUUUGCAUUCCCAUCUUAUAGAAAAACCCAAAUGAAUUUUUUGGCCAACCCAA
This 83-nucleotide microRNA precursor is filed under the name Ovis aries (sheep). RNAcentral's name for it is "miRNA (ENSOARG00000024679.1)". The record is from RNAcentral. Lineage: Eukaryota; Metazoa; Chordata; Mammalia; Artiodactyla; Bovidae.